This 23-nucleotide small nuclear RNA is filed under the name Arabidopsis thaliana (thale cress). Its description in RNAcentral is "snRNA_07045". Lineage: Eukaryota; Viridiplantae; Streptophyta; Magnoliopsida; Brassicales; Brassicaceae. The record is from RNAcentral.
AUGGAAGGGAAAGAGCUGUCUUC